This 404-nucleotide long non-coding RNA is filed under the name Daucus carota (carrot). RNAcentral's name for it is "long non-coding RNA (DCAR_LNC005410)". The record is from RNAcentral. Lineage: Eukaryota; Viridiplantae; Streptophyta; Magnoliopsida; Apiales; Apiaceae.
GUAUCAAGUACUCCUUUGAGAUCAAUGGGUGAUAACAAAAUGUCAUGUGAAAGGGACGAUCCAUGUGCAUGUGCUGGUAUUAAGUGAUGUACUAGAAGUAGAAAAUUUUCUUGGUGACUUUUCACAACCCUUGGUUACUGGAGAAUUACUUGACUAAAAAAAAAAGAUAAAUAAAGAGCUAGCGAAGUCUUAUGGUGGUCGUAACUCACUUACCCUGAGAAGCGUCCCGACCUUAGACCGAGCAUAGAUUAAAAAAGAGAAACAUAGAAGAGAGGCAUAGAAGUUCCUUGGUGACCCUAAGCUAUAGUUGACUCCACUGUAACGAAGUGUUUAAGCAUUAUUCUGAUUAAUGGCUCAUGGUUGAGACUCUGUUGAAGUUUGUUGGUCUCUGUUUUGUUUCAUUA